GACGAACGCUGGCGGCGUGCUUAACACAUGCAAGUCGAACGGUGAUGCUCCAGCUUGCUGGAGUGGAUCAGUGGCGAACGGGUGAGUAACACGUGAGCAACCUGCCCCAGACUCUGGAAUAAGCGCUGGAAACGGCGUCUAAUACUGGAUACGAAACUGGCCCGCAUGGGCAUGGUUUGGAAAGUUUUUCGGUUUGGGAUGGGCUCGCGGCCUAUCAGCUUGUUGGUGAGGUAAUGGCUCACCAAGGCGACGACGGGUAGCCGGCCUGAGAGGGCGACCGGCCACACUGGGACUGAGACACGGCACAGACUCCUACGGGAGGCAGCAGUGGGGAAUAUUGCACAAUGGGCGAAAGCCUGAUGCAGCGACGCCGCGUGAGGGAUGACGGCCUUCGGGUUGUAAACCUCUUUCAGCAGGGAAGAAGCGAAAGUGACGGUACCUGCAGAAGAAGCACCGGCUAACUACGUG
This 468-nucleotide ribosomal RNA is filed under the name uncultured bacterium. Its description in RNAcentral is "partial 16S ribosomal RNA". It matches the Rfam family "Bacterial small subunit ribosomal RNA", at positions 28 to 507 of the family's 1533-position model. The record is from RNAcentral.